GUGAAACCGCGAAUGGCUCAUUAAAUCACACCUAAUCUACUGGAUAGUAGUCAGUUACUUGGAUACCUGAGGUAAUUCUUCAGCUAAUACAUGCGCACAAGCCUCGAACUUACGUGAGAGGCGCUUUUAUUAGAUCAAAACCAGUCGGCUUCGGCCGUCCCUUUGGUGACUCUGAAUAACUUUGGGCUGAUCGCAUGGCCUCGCGCCGGCGACAUAUCCUUCGAAGGUGUGCCCUAUCAACUGUCGACUGUGGCAUAGACGCCCACAGUGGUUUUGACGGGUAACGGGGAAUCAGGGUUCGAUUCCGGAGAGGGAGCCUUAAAAACGGCUACCACAUCCAAGGAAGGCAGCAGGCACGCAAAUUACCCAAUGACCGAAGGUCGAGGUAGUGACGAAAAAUAACGAUACGGGACUCAUCCGAGGCCCCGUAAUCGGAAUGAGUACACUUUAAAACCUUUCCAACGAGGAUCUAUUGGAGGGCAAGUCUGGUGCCAGCAGCCGCGGUAAUUCCAGCUCCAAUAGCGUAUAUUAAAGUUGUUGCGGUUAAAAAGCUCGUAGUUGGAUCUCGGCGGGUAGAGGGCGGUAUGCUUGCUAGCAUCACUGCCCUAUUACCCGUAGUUUUGCUAGAGGUUUCAGGGUGCUCUUAAUCGAGUGUCCUGAGAUGCUAGCAGGUUUACUUUGAAAAAAUUAGAGUGCUCAAAGCAGGCUUUUACGCUUGAAUAUUCGUGCAUGGAAUAAUAGAAUAGGAAGUCGUUUCUAUUUUGUUGGUUUUCGGAAAUCGACUUAAUGAUUAAUAGGGACAGUCGGGGGCAUUUGUAUUCAAACGACAGAGGUGAAAUUCUUGGACCGUUUGAAGACAAACUACUGCGAAAGCAUUUGCCAAGAAUGUUUUCAUUAAUCAAGAACGAAAG
This 911-nucleotide ribosomal RNA is filed under the name Haloptilus longicornis. Its description in RNAcentral is "SSU rRNA". It matches the Rfam family "Eukaryotic small subunit ribosomal RNA", at positions 81 to 989 of the family's 1831-position model. Lineage: Eukaryota; Metazoa; Arthropoda; Copepoda; Calanoida; Augaptilidae. The record is from RNAcentral.